Molecule: unclassified non-coding RNA, 269 nt
Filed under: Microbotryum anomalum
Lineage: Eukaryota; Fungi; Basidiomycota; Microbotryomycetes; Microbotryales; Microbotryaceae
Description: partial internal transcribed spacer 2
Source: RNAcentral
ACUGUUCAACCCCCCGAUUUUUCUUUUGGGAAAGUUGGGCGUGGCUUGGAUUCUGAACGCUUGCUGGACCGCAUCUUCUUCCCUGUAUGGGGGGGGAGACCCAGGUCGAAGCUCGUUCGUAAUACAUUAGCAUCCUAAUCUUCGAGAUCAGAUCGACUCGGCGUAAUAGACUAUUCGCUGAGGACAUGGCACCCCGUUAAAAAAGGGCGUUAUGGCUGAACUGGAAAAGCUGGAAGCUUCGAACCCCCGACGAUCUAGUCGAAUCCAAG